RNAcentral lists this ribosomal RNA (492 nucleotides) under uncultured bacterium. RNAcentral's name for it is "partial 16S ribosomal RNA". It matches the Rfam family "Bacterial small subunit ribosomal RNA", at positions 28 to 507 of the family's 1533-position model. The record is from RNAcentral.
GAUGAACGCUAGCUACAGGCUUAACACAUGCAAGUCGAGGGGAAACGGCAUUGAGUGCUUGCACUCUUUGGACGUCGACCGGCGCACGGGUGAGUAACGCGUAUCCAACCUUCCCAUUACUGUGGGAUAACCUGCCUAAAGGCAGACUAAUACCGCAUAGUCUUCGAUGACGGCAUCAGAUUUGAAGUAAAGAUUUAUCGGUAAUGGAUGGGGAUGCGUCUGAUUAGCUUGUUGGCGGGGUAACGGCCCACCAAGGCUACGAUCAGUAGGGGUUCUGAGAGGAAGGUCCCCCACAUUGGAACUGGGACAAGGUCCAAACUCCUACGGGAGGCAGCAGUGAGGAAUAUUGGUCAAUGGACGGAAGUCUGAACCAGCCAAGUAGCGUGCAGGAGGACGGCCCUAUGGGUUGUAAACUGCUUUUGUAUGGGGAUAAAGUUAGGGACGUGUCUCUAUUUGCAGGUACCAUACGAAUAAGGACCGGCUAAUUCCGUG